CUGUCACUACACAAGGGUUGAAUGUGACUCCUGUGUGGAAAAUCUUUUUGAACAAUGUCUCAGUAAACACCAGGGAAUGAAUAUUCUUGGAGGCUAAAGACCCAGGACAUUGUGAAGUUUUGGUUUUAGGUGAGAAUUACCUGUAACAGCUUUUGUGUUGUCAUUUUCUCUUUCUCCUAAAAUUGGGAGCAGCUGAAUGCUAGCCAGUGAGGGAUAUUUGUUAGCUGGGUUCUGAUUAUGUGAGGUUUUAUCUAGCAACCUCCAAUUAAUAGAACUAAAACUUGUUUUCUCUUAAUUCACUUGGAAAUUACAAACAUAAUACAUAUUCAUGGUGAAAAAUUCAAAAUAUAGUAUCAGGUUUUUAGGAGAUGUUGCCUUUUAUAAAGCUGGAGUGGUAGAAACCUAGCUGUGGCCAGGGCCACUGAAACUACU
RNAcentral lists this long non-coding RNA (432 nucleotides) under Bos taurus (domestic cattle). RNAcentral's name for it is "long non-coding RNA NONBTAT016296". The record is from RNAcentral. Lineage: Eukaryota; Metazoa; Chordata; Mammalia; Artiodactyla; Bovidae.